Molecule: ribosomal RNA, 484 nt
Filed under: uncultured bacterium
Lineage: Bacteria
Description: partial 16S ribosomal RNA
Rfam family: Bacterial small subunit ribosomal RNA
Source: RNAcentral
AUUGAACGCUGGCGGCAGGCCUAACACAUGCAAGUCUAUCGGAUGAAUGUAGCUUGCUCCUGUAUUCAGCGGCGGACGGGUGAGUAAUGCCUAGGAAUCUGCCUGGUAGUGGGGGAUAACGUCCGGAAACGGGCGCUAAUACCUCAUACGUCCUGAGGGAGACAUUUGGGGAUCUUCGGACCUCACUCUAUCAGAUGAGCCUAGGUCGGCUUAGCUAGUUUGUGGGGUAAAGGCCUACCCAGGCGACGAUACGUAACUGGUCUGAGAGGAUGAUCCGUCACACUGGAACUGAGACACGGUCCAGACGCCGACGGGAGGCAGCAGUGGGGAAUAUGGGACAAUGGGCGAAAGCCUGAUCCAGCCAUGCCGCGUGUGUGAAGAAGGUCUUCGGAGUGUAAAGCACUUUAAGUUGGGAGGAAGGGCAGUAAGAUAAUACCUUGCUGUUUUGACGGUACCAACAGAAUAAGCACCGGCUAACUUCGUG